UACGGGGAUGGGUGCACGGCGCACGGGUGCGUAACACGUGGGCAAUCUGCCCUCCGAUGGGGAAUAACCCCGCGAGAGCGGGGCUAAUUCCGCAUAACAUUCCCUGGACCUCGGUUUGGGGAUUCAAAGCCGUAAGGCGUCGGAGGAGGAGCCCGCGCCCGAUUAGCUAGUUGGUGAGGUAACGGCUCACCAAGGCAAUGAUCGGUAGCUGGUCUGAGAGGAUGGCCAGCCACACUGGAACUGAGACACGGUCCAGACUCCUACGGGAGGCAGCAGUGGGGAAUCUUGCGCAAUGGGCGAAAGCCUGACGCAGCGACGCCGCGUGGGGGAUGAAGCUUCUCGGAGUGUAAACCCCUUUCGACUGGGACGAAUGCCUCGCAAGAGGAGUGACGGUACCAGUAGAAGAAGCCCCGGCUAACUACGUGCCAGCAGCCGCGGUAAGACGUAGGGGGCCAGCGUUGUUCGGAAUUACUGGGUGUAAAGGGUUCGUAGGCGGUGCGGCAAGUUGGGAGUGAAAUCUCUGGGCUUAACCCAGAGGCUGCUUCCAAAACUGCCGUGCUCGAGUGUGGGAGAGGCGCGUGGAAUUGCAGGUGUAGCGGUGAAAUGCGUAGAUAUCUGCAGGAACA
This 626-nucleotide ribosomal RNA is filed under the name uncultured bacterium. Its description in RNAcentral is "bacterial SSU rRNA". It matches the Rfam family "Bacterial small subunit ribosomal RNA", at positions 80 to 708 of the family's 1533-position model. The record is from RNAcentral.